This 69-nucleotide transfer RNA is filed under the name Anolis chloris. Its description in RNAcentral is "tRNA-Tyr". The record is from RNAcentral. Lineage: Eukaryota; Metazoa; Chordata; Lepidosauria; Squamata; Anolidae.
GAUAAAGGAAGGAAUUAAACCCCCUUUUAUAGGACUACAGCCUACCGCCUAUCAUUCGGCCACUUUACC